UGUCAUUAUAUUGUAUAAAUGUACAAAUAAAAUUAAAUUAAAGAAAAGAACUGGAAUUGCUGACAAGAUAUACCAUAUCUAAAGGGGCAAUUAGAACAUCUCCAAAAGUGAACUAUGGCUCCAGAACAGAAGUGCACACCAGCCUAUGUUUUAGGCCAAGGUGAAGUAAUUCAAUUUCAGCCACCAUUCACUGAUAAGCUCAGAUGCUGGGAUCUGAUCUGAAUCUUGUGACUUUAUGUGUGGAAUCUAUUCCUGGUAUAGUGAUGCUAGAAUUUUUAAUGUGUAGCUAAUGUGGCAUCUGAAUGUAUUAUAAAACUAAAAACUAAGAACUCAAAACCUUGAUAAUGAAUUGAUUUUCUAUAUCAUUAACCCCAAACAUGAUGGCAUAUAGUGGGUAUUUGAUAAUUAUUUCUCUAAAUCAAACUGAAUUUGGUGUUUGGAGAUUCUACAGUGUGUAUUGUGAAAUAGAGGAAAUACAGAUUCAGAUCAAGGAUAUUAAAAUUAAAAUGUUAAUUAUAGUCCCUCAGAAAAGGUUCUUUUAGUACAUUAUGAUUGCUAUUCUUAACAUAGACACAAGGUGUGGGCAGUGCUGUUUGUCUUUUGUCUAUUGUUGAACCUCAAAGAAUGAAGUCAGUAGGGUUGAAGUGCUAGUUCAAUGUCACAGCUGAGAGGAGCUUGGAAAAACCAUUAACUACUCAUGAAUUCCUCUGCUGUCUAAUCAAAGGACAGAAUUCCUCUGCUUUCUCUAAGUCCCCUAUAGCAACAAGUAUCAUUAGCAUCUUCUGUUGCCCCUGCACAAAGCCUCCCUCUAAUCAGCCUGGCCUCAUACUGAGCUCAGCCCACCCUAAAGGAUUCCAUUCCUUCAAUUUCUACUUCUGGUUUUACUUCUCUCUCCUACAGUCCAGAAUUUUUUUGCAGCCUUCAAAGCCAAGCUUUAUGUUUCCUGAAGGGUGACUCUGUAGUUCUAAUGGCAGAAUUCUGAACACUUAGUGGUUGUCUCAAGGUGCUGAGCACCUUUUUUUCCCAACAAUGUUUGGGAAAUUUAUCUUACAUCUUUUGUAUUCUCACAGCCUAGAGAACUUGGUGAGAGCUCAGUAAAUAUCAGUCUGAUUGCUCUUAAUAUUGGGUAACAUAAUCUGUGCUCUUAAUACUGGAUAACAUAUGCUGCACAUUUUAAUUAUAAUACUGUGGUCUACAGUGGGAGCUCCAAGGCUUAGGUGAUAUGUAGUGUCAGAAAUUUUAUUAAGACCUAUGUAUUCCUUGAGUAUUCCUUUGUACAAACAAUAUAAAAUAGGACAUAUGGUUAUAUAUUGUUAGUCCUCAUUGCUACGAGAGUUGGAACACACAAUCUCUAAGUGCCUUUCCAUGUUUCUGAGUGUCUAAUUAUAGGAUAGUCUGUACAUCAUUCAUAGGACACAGUGCAAAACUCACCCUGGAUGAUUAAAUGAUUCUGGGAGUAGUGUUUAUGUUGUUUUAUUAAUGAUAUGGAAGGCCUGGGUUGGAAGAUAGAAUCUAGAGACCAGGGUAGGUUCAUAGAAGAAUCACUGAAACUUGUAGAACAGGCCUGGAAGAAGGGUUGAGAUUCCAAGUUAACAGGGGACCUACCAGAAGAAGAUCUCCUGAUUUUAAAAAGCGCAAGUAUCAGGUAGCAGGUCCCUCAUAAAAUGGGCUGGAGCUUGGGGCAGAUUUAUGAAUGUGACAUGAUGCAUAUGGAGGAUACAAGAGGAAAAGUUGGGAAUCAUUUAGUGAAAUGAGUGAACAUGGAAAUAAAUUGUGAGAUUCAAUUCUUUAUUACAUUCUAUGGUGAAAGCCAGACCUGUAGCAAUUCUGAGCAGAGGUAGAGACAAAGCACUGCUAGUUUGGGGCUUUUUGUGAGUACCAGAUGACCAUCCUAGAAUGAGAAACUGAUCUAGCUGAAUCUCUAAGGUGUUAGUAACCUCACUCUGAAGGUUGCUGAAAAGGAGGGAUAGGGAACCAGGCUGAUAGCUGUAAUCUAUUACCUGCCUAGAGGGACAAAAUACAUUUGAAUUUAGUAGUACUUGAAUGUGUCUUUGAAGAUGAGUUAAUAUUUAUACAAAGCAGACUUUGAUGGAACCACGUGUGAUUGCACAAGAGAUGGAAUGUGCUCAGAGAUGGGAGGGCAGGUCAGAAUAUAAAAAGAAGUUAUUAUGAUAUGAGUUUCUUUAUAAAUCACAGAUUUUUCUUCCCAGGCAUAUUUUAUCAGCUGAUUCUGUCAUAACCUGAAGUUAUUAUUCUGCUUUAUUUCUUUCUAAUGCACACACAGUGUGUUAUUCAGUUGAUUUCUUCCAUAAUCUCCUUGCUUAUAAAAAUGUCUCCUUUUGCCUCUUUUCAUGGUGAAACAUGUAAUUUUUUGACUCUAAAAUAAAGAGAUAUAAUAGUUUCUUAUGUCUAAAGUUCAUGGAAAAUGAACUCAUAUAUUUUAAAUCCCCUGUGUUUUAAAUUUCUUAUAUUCUAGUUUUACAUUCUUGUCUUUCGUGCCAGAUAUUAUUUCUCCCUUCUAGUCUUUUCUUCAUCUCUAAAAGCUUUCUUAAAAAUUCUUCCCAGAAAAUAAAUACAUAGUGCUAGGUAGGAGUCCUUGUAUGAGCUGUUCGCAUCAGUAUUUACCUCCUUAUAUACUAGAUAAAUACAUAUGGUUUUAUAUCCUAAUAUAUUGUGGAGUUAGGAAGGCUCACCAGGGUAAUGGUGGUAGGAAAAGCUAUGUGUAUGCAUAUAUAUAUAUAUAUAAUGAGUAUAUUUACAAGCUGUGAUCAAAACUAUGGUGAAUGCUAAUGCCAACAACCACCAAUGGAAAGGCAGGCUCACAAAAUCAUCACAAUAUAUUUUCAUACAACUUAUUCCUUGCAUCUAAGCAACAUGUGACUUCUGCCUCUUCUGCAAAGUCAAAAGACCAUGAAAGAUGAACACUGUGAAUUGAUUCAGGACAUCGAGGCACUCAGGAUUGUGCAACUAAAGAUACUCACAGAGAGAACUUCCAGAACUGCUUCAGAAAGUGCUCCUCGAACAGGAAAGAUGCAGUACUUUACAAUUUGCUCAAACUGGCACAGACAGAGAAAAGACAUGACAUCUUCCUUUGGAAUUAAAUUCCCUCAGGAAAAAAACCUGAAGAUUUGGGGAUUUGAUUUUGUGAGUGAAUAAAGGUGGUUGGUGGACUGAGGUCAUGAACUCCCCAAGAAGCUUUAGAAGGACGUGAAUGAGGAUAAAUUGCUUCCCUUUCCUUCUGGCUCCACAUUACUCUUGCCUCAGCUUUUGAAAUGAGAUGCAUAUGGAAACAAUUGCUCCUGGAUCAUUUCCUCUCCUCUCCAGAUGCCUCAUGGGUGGCCUUGCCACCCCUCAUGAUCAUAGUCCUCCAAAUUUAGAGGUGCGAGUCAUGAAAGAUUUCCAUCUAUUCCAUUCCAUCGGGGUCCUUUUUCAAAGAAGAAAGUCACUAUCUGCAACCCACACCUGGGAAGAUAAAUCUACCUCUCAGAAGUGCAAAUGAACCCAAUCACAUUUCUAAGUGGAGAAAACCAUUGUGAUAUGCUGGAAAGGCUAAUAAUGUGUGGUAUGAUAUUCUCUUAUGAAGCUAAGAAGUAUCAGAGAACCACAGCUCCCAGUCACCCACACAAUCAAAAGUAAACAACAAAUAUUGUACAGUAUACUCUGUUGCUAUGCUGUUCCAUUGGUUAAGUAUAUUAAAUGUAUUAUUUAUUUGGAUGUAACACCAUCAUAACUCCAGGAGGAUCCAUGUUCCCAAUUGCCUUUUCUCAUCUCUUAUAACAUAGAUGUCAUUCAUUUCACUAUUCUUAAUAAUCACUGAAUUACUAUUGAAAGAAAUUGU
Heterocephalus glaber (naked mole-rat) is the source of this 3838-nucleotide non-coding RNA. Lineage: Eukaryota; Metazoa; Chordata; Mammalia; Rodentia; Bathyergidae. The record is from RefSeq and is a predicted model, not a curated record.